Molecule: long non-coding RNA, 1274 nt
Organism: Mirounga angustirostris (Northern elephant seal)
Lineage: Eukaryota; Metazoa; Chordata; Mammalia; Carnivora; Phocidae
Exons: 3
Source: RefSeq, a predicted model, not a curated record
CCAGGGAAAAGCCUCUCAAGUGCCCUGGGGCCUUCUCCAAGAUCUGAGAACUGCUCCCCGCGGGAUGGGGCCUGGCAGGGACUUUAGGAACAACUCUGGGUGGCCGUCGGAGACUCGGGUGCAGCUGGGAAGCCGAGGUCCUCCAUGCUGGUGCAGUCUCAUCCGAAAGGCCAUCUUCUCCUCCUUGAGCUUCACACCCACCCUCACGGUGAAAUCCAUCCACAGAGAGAGACACAGCGAGAGAGGAAACACAAGCAGGGGGAGUGGGAGAGGGAGAAGAAGGCUUCCCGCUGAGCAGGGAGCCCGAUGUGGGGCUCGAUCCCAGGAUCCUGGGAUCAUGACACGAGCCAAAGGCAGACGCUUAAUGACUGAGCCACCCAGGUGCCCCUUGGAGUGGUCUUCAUCGCAGCCUUGUUAUCCAGAGACAAUAGGUAAGCACUUAUGAAAAUAUUCCACUUUUUGAGUAGGCAUAAAAUGUUAAUUAAAACCAGGAGUUAAGGGGUGCCUCGGGGGGUUCAGUUGGUUAAGCAUCUGCCUUCAGCUCAGGUUAUGAUCCCAGGCUCCUGGGAUCGAGCCCUGCCUCGGGCUCCUUGCUCAGUGGGGAGUCUUCUUCUCCCUCUCCCUCUGCCUGCCACUCCCCCUGUUCGUGUUCUUUCUCUCUCAAAUAAAUAACAGCAAAAUCUUUUAAAAAAUUGUUUAUGUGGUAAGUAUCCUGUAGCCUUGUUGGCAACAGUCUCCCCCGCCCAACAUGACCAGAAGGGAUGGGUGAGGAAGGGAUGUUAUAUCUACAUUAUAUAAUAUAUAUUACACGGUCAGUAAUGGCAUGUUCUGUAAGACUCUGUAGCAGCAGAUGGCUUAAUGUGGUGGCUCUGAGCAAGGCUGCUGGGUUUGAAUUCCAGCACUGCCAUUCAUAAGCUGUGUGACCGUGGGAAAAUCACUUACCUUCUCUGAACCUCAGUUACGCCAUCUGUGAAAUCAACAUAAUAAUAGUACUUAACUCAUACAGUUGUAGUGAGGGUUAGAUGGGCUCAUGUAGGGAAGACACUUAAAACCGGGGAAACCCAUUAUGUUAGCUGUUGUCAUCAGUACUUGGGAAAAAGCUGAUGUCGUUCAAGAACUUGAAAAGGGCAGAAUUUGAAAUUAUAUAUUAGUCAUGGAGAGUGAACACCAAAACACUCCAAAGAUGUCUGAAGUAACAGGAAGGAUUAAUGUCAAAAUGGUGUCAGUGGUUGCCUCUGAGUUGCAGGCAUUAGUUACCUUGAUUUUUUUUUUCU